Strigops habroptila (Kakapo) is the source of this 648-nucleotide long non-coding RNA. RefSeq lists it as uncharacterized. The transcript has 3 exons. The record is from RefSeq and is a predicted model, not a curated record. NCBI's taxonomy places the organism in Eukaryota, Metazoa, Chordata, Aves, Psittaciformes, Psittacidae.
UUUAGCAAUUCUCAGCUGCAAAUAGUAAGGGUUUCUGAGAUGGUAAAGUCCUGACUCCCAUGGCAUAGGGAAGAGAAAACUCACUGCACAAAUGCUAAGGAGGUGCACAGAAGUUUCAUCUCCAGCCUUGGGGUGUAGUGUUGCUGUGUUCAGCCCCUUGUUGAGAUCAUCUUGCUGUCACUACCUGCGUUGCUGGAGCCACCAAAUGGAGAGCCAGCUCAGCUCUGCUGCAGCCCUCUUCUGCCCUCCAUGAACUUGAGGAGCAGGGGAACGGGGAUAACUUCAACCAACACUGAGGCAGGGCUGCUGGCUUUCAAGCAGAAGAAACCUGGCUCACAAACCUUGAGAAAUACAUCUGAAGGAUUAUUAUUUUUUUUUUUUUUUUUUAAUACUUACAGGACUAGUCAGGAUAUUCUGAGGUUAAAUUCUGUGCAUUUAUAGGAACUCUGGUAAAGCAAUUAAGGUCCCAGAUUUGACUUGCAUUAGCAUAUUUAUAACUUGGUGGGGAAUGUUUUCCAUAUUCCUUGUAUCUAUUUUUGUAAUGAUACUAAUCCUUUACAUUUCUGUAUCACCUUUCAUUUAGGAGGACUAGACCCCAAGUUGCUUUACAUAUGAAGGACAAAAAUACAGGCAGACAUGAUGGUGACA